This 240-nucleotide unclassified non-coding RNA is filed under the name soil metagenome. RNAcentral's name for it is "partial contains 5.8S ribosomal RNA, internal transcribed spacer 2, and large subunit ribosomal RNA". The record is from RNAcentral.
AACCAUAGAAACCUGCGGAGUACCUGCGGAGGGAUCAUUAUAGUAUAUGGAAUCUCCAUUCUAUAAACCCACUCUGCGUAUCUUGUAACUGUUGCUUCCAUGGGACUUGGUUCCGCCACACCGGCUUCACGGCUGGUGAGCGCCCAUGGAAGGAGAAACAAAACUCCUCUUUGAAAUGUAGUCAGUCUGAACAAGUUUUUAUAAACGUUAAAACUUUUAACAAUGGAUCUCAGAUCGGAA